Molecule: ribosomal RNA, 728 nt
Filed under: Streptomyces sp.
Lineage: Bacteria; Bacillati; Actinomycetota; Actinomycetes; Kitasatosporales; Streptomycetaceae
Description: bacterial SSU rRNA
Rfam family: Bacterial small subunit ribosomal RNA
Source: RNAcentral
UCUGGGACAAGCCCUGGAAACGGGGUCUAAUACCGGAUAAUACCUUCUCCUGCAUGGGAGGGGGUUGAAAGCUCCGGCGGUGAAGGAUGAGCCCGCGGCCUAUCAUCUUGUUGGUGGGGUGAUGGCCUACCAAGGCGACGACGGGUAGCCGGCCUGAGAGGGCGACCGGCCACACUGGGACUGAGACACGGCCCAGACUCCUACGGGAGGCAGCAGUGGGGAAUAUUGCACAAUGGGCGAAAGCCUGAUGCAGCGACGCCGCGUGAGGGAUGACGGCCUUCGGGUUGUAAACCUCUUUCAGCAGGGAAGAAGCGCAAGUGACGGUACCUGCAGAAGAAGCACCGGCUAACUACGUGCCAGCAGCCGCGGUAAUACGUAGGGUGCGAGCGUUGUCCGGAAUUAUUGGGCGUAAAGAGCUCGUAGGCGGCUUGUCACGUCGGUUGUGAAAGCCCGGGGCUUAACCCCGGGUCUGCAGUCGAUACGGGCAGGCUAGAGUGUGGUAGGGGAGAUCGGAAUUCCUGGUGUAGCGGUGAAAUGCGCAGAUAUCAGGAGGAACACCGGUGGCGAAGGCGGAUCUCUGGGCCAUUACUGACGCUGAGGAGCGAAAGCGUGGGGAGCGAACAGGAUUAGAUACCCUGGUAGUCCACGCCGUAAACGUUGGGAACUAGGUGUUGGCGACAUUCCACGUCGUCGGGUGCCGCAGCUAACGCAUUAAGUUCCCCGCCUGG